UACGUAGGGGGCAAGCGUUGUCCGGAAUCAUUGGGCGUAAAGCGCGUGUAGGCGGCUCGAUAAGUCUGCUGUGAAAGUCCAGGGCUCAACCCUGGGAUGCCGGUGGAUACUGUCGAGCUCGAGUCCGGAAGAGGCGAGUGGAAUUCCUGGUGUAGCGGUGAAAUGCGCAGAUAUCUGGAGGAACACCGGUGGCGAAGGCGGCGUCCUGGACCAAUACUGACACUGAGGAGCGAAAGCCAGGGAGCAAAGCGGG
RNAcentral lists this ribosomal RNA (253 nucleotides) under uncultured bacterium. RNAcentral's name for it is "partial 16S ribosomal RNA". It matches the Rfam family "Bacterial small subunit ribosomal RNA", at positions 524 to 777 of the family's 1533-position model. The record is from RNAcentral.